Non-coding RNA from Camelina sativa (false flax), 573 nucleotides. NCBI's taxonomy places the organism in Eukaryota, Viridiplantae, Streptophyta, Magnoliopsida, Brassicales, Brassicaceae. The record is from RefSeq and is a predicted model, not a curated record.
AGGAGGUAGUAGCAGAAGAAAAUGGAAAUGAACUAAGGAAUGAGGAGGAUGUAGAGGAGCAUCAUGAAGAAAAAGAAGCAGAAGAAGAAGGAAUUGUUGAUGGAGACUCUACGGAUGGAGCUGUACUUGUUAACGGAAGUGAGGCUGACGAAGAGUGGGGUACGAAUAAUGAAGGAAACCCAUCAGCCUAAUAGCAAGUCGGUCAAGGCCAAUGUUGAAAAGUCUGAAAAUUUUGUCUCUGUGCUUACACCGCGUCAGUAGAGUUUACAGUUUAUGGGAAUGGCGAUUGUUCCAGGAACAGUGGAGAGGUGAGAGAACUUUCAUUCUUUUUCCUUUUCUUACUGAGGAUUCAAAGGCCAAAUCCGAGCAGCCUGGAAACACAUUUUGAUACCAUUUUGUAAUAAAAGUAAGAAUUUCUUAAGAAAAUUAAAAUCCGAGCAGGACUCAGUUCUUUGCUGGAGGAUUUAGAUGAAAAGAGAGAGGCUGGUGAGUUAAAAGGAGGUGUGGUUGUUCCUUUUUGUGUCUUUGCACUCAUAGCGAAAUUUAUUAUCAUAUGGUUUUGUUUUGUUUUUA